AAAGGAAUAGACGGGGACUCGCACAAGCGGUGGUUCAUGAGGUUCAAUUCGACAGCAAACGAGGCACCUCACCAGGGCUUGACAUGCAGUCCUUAUGCUUUUUUUGAAAAGAAAAAGUUUUUACCGCAAGGUAAACGGACUGCACAGGUGCUGCAUGGUUGUCGUCAGCUCGUGCCGUGAGGCGUUCCCUUCAGUGGGGAAACGAGCGCAACCCUCGUUGUUUGUUUUUGUGUCAAACAAGACUACCCCGCCCUAAGCUUGCAAAAUUUAAAUUAUGAAAUUUUGUUGGUUUGGGGCGGGGUGGAAGCGAGGAUGACGCCAAAUCAGCAUGGCCCUUUGAUGUCCUGGGCGACACUCAUGAAACAAUGGUAUACACAACGGGUUGCUAAGCCGCGAGGCGGAGCUAAUCCCUAAAAAUAUACCUCAGUUCGGAUUGGAGUCUGAAACCCGACUCCAUGAAGCUGGAAUCGCUAGUAAACGCGUAUCAGCCAUGGCGCGUUGAAUACGUUCUCGAGUCCUGUACACACCGCCCGU
Molecule: ribosomal RNA, 534 nt
Filed under: uncultured bacterium
Lineage: Bacteria
Description: bacterial SSU rRNA
Rfam family: Bacterial small subunit ribosomal RNA
Source: RNAcentral